Myodes glareolus (Bank vole) is the source of this 1667-nucleotide long non-coding RNA. RefSeq lists it as uncharacterized. Lineage: Eukaryota; Metazoa; Chordata; Mammalia; Rodentia; Cricetidae. The record is from RefSeq and is a predicted model, not a curated record.
ACGUAUCUGAGUAGACUUGCAUUUUUGUUUCUCUCAAGGAAAGACGAACACUGGGCUUGCUAGGCUGUAGGUAUUGUGUGGACAGAUACACUGCUGCUUGAAUGUGGAGGUCAGAGAAUAACUUGAAGGAGUCAACUCUAUCUUUACCAUGUGGACGCAGGGGACUGAACUCUGGUCAUCCGUCUUGGUGGUGAGUCUGCACGCAAGUGUACACAGGUGUUCACACAGAGGCAUAGAUGUGGAGGUCAGAGGCAACAUGCGGGAGCGGUUCUGUCCUUCAGCCAUGUGGGUCCCAGGGAUAAAACUCAGAUGGUGAGGCUAUGGCCUGGCAGUGGCUUCUGGGUGUGCUGAUUCACUGAGAGCAUCAAGGAGCAGUGACAGUCGUGGAGGAGGAGAAGAAAAAGAAAGGGAGGAAGUGGUGGGGGGAGGGAGAGACAACAGUGACUGCUCUGGCCUGCUUCUGAAAUGAAGGCAUAGUUUUGUUUUAUAGUCUGCUUAAAGAAAUUUCAGAAAGAACUCCAGAAUAAAUGUAAGUGCACACACACACUGAGCAACCAAGGAGCAUUUUCUCAGACUGUGUUUCCUGAGGAAAAUUUGAAAUUUUUUGCUUCUGGCCAGACUGGCCUCUAUCCCUGCCCAUCUAACUUUGCCAAAGCUUUGAUCCUAAAGAAACACCUCUGUAUUUCAAGUCCAAACCCACAAUAGCAGACCCUGAGGUAGAUGGAUUUCACAUUUGUGAUAUUCCUAGUUCGCACGGACUUUCCCAAACCACACUCUCUGGGCAUGAGGUGCACACCUCACGUCUACCCCCAUCUUCCAACUUUGGCCAAAAUUUCCAUCACACACACCAUACGCUAUCUUCUUUUCCCCUUCAGUCAAACUUCCUGUCUAUUAACCGUGCUGCAAGAGUUUCUAAGAUUUCAACUCUUUCCUGUAAGUAUUUCCCUCUGAAAUCAGAACCAAGAUAGAAUUAUCUUCCAUACUUGGAAUUUGAAGAUGAAGCCCCCACCUGCACUCAUACCCCAAAUGACAACUCCAACACACUGGGUUCAGGUGUUGCCUCAAACAGUUUUGAAAGAACUUUGCAUUUCUUGGUGUGAAAUUGUCUACUUAUUUUCUAAAGAGCAAAAGCAGGUUAGGCAGAAAGAUCCAUGCCUGACACCCCACAGUGGUAUGCAAGAGGCAGGACAUGGGAGAACCUGCUGAUUCUCCAAGAAUGAUUGAUGGACCCUGCACCCAGAGCUUCCUUGCUGUGUGGACUUCAAAUAAAAUCUGGCUUCUACGGUAUUUUAGUGGUUACUCCCUUUAUGACCAUGGAUUUCUUUUUGUUCUUGGUCUGAGAUGGAUGUUAAAAUAGUUUGAAAAUACUUCUUCUAUUCUAAUACUUAGCCCUUCCAUUCAGAUAUGUUUUCCCUCCCCCACACACGAACAAGACAUACAUCGUGAACAGAGCCUGGAGGGAAGGGACCUUUCUGCUUUCAUCUGACCUGAGAUGCAUUUGCUGUCAUUUAUGAUCCACAACAACCUUGCCUGACUGUAAUUUACUCUCUGUAAGACUAAGUUCUGAAUGUAUGUCCUCAGCUUGUACUCGCAAGCUGAGCUGAGGACACAGUCCACAUAUUGUUUCUGCCCCUUUUCCCCGAAGUGUAUUCAAUUUAAACAUGAAA